GAUGAAGAACGCAGCGAAAUGCGAUAAGUAGUGUGAAUUGCAGAAUUCAGUGAAUCAUCGAAUCUUUGAACGCACAUUGCGCCCCUUGGUAUUCCAUGGGGCAUGCCUGUUCGAGCGUCAUUUACACCCUCAAGCUCUGCUUGGUGUUGGGCGUCUGUCCCGCUGCUUUGCGCGGACUCGCCUCAAAGGUAUUGGCAGCGAUCAUGCCAGCUUCUCGCGCAGCACAUUGCGCUUCUUGAAGUUCUGGUGGAUCAGCGUCCAUUAAGCUUACCUUCAUGACUUGACCUCGGAUCAGGUAGGGAUACCCGCUGAACUUAAGCAUAUCAAUAAGCGGGGA
This 337-nucleotide unclassified non-coding RNA is filed under the name soil metagenome. RNAcentral's name for it is "partial contains 5.8S ribosomal RNA, internal transcribed spacer 2, and large subunit ribosomal RNA". The stretch from base 1 to 120 matches the Rfam family "5.8S ribosomal RNA", at positions 35 to 154 of the family's 154-position model. The record is from RNAcentral.